AUUAAAUCGAUGAAUAAGAAGAGUAGGCAUACGCUGAAGCGUUACAGAGAGCCGGUUGUGGUGUGAUUCCGGUACGUGAAUGUAUGUUGAAUGGCCUUAUGAGAUGUUUCUUGAAGAAAAGUAGGGAAACACGGAGUUCCGCCGUUACACGGAUAGGGUUUAAGCUAUGCAAGCUGCAUACUUUGUACCUGAACCAGAGAUGAAGAGGGGUUAGUAAACUCCCUUCAACUGAGGUGGCACCGCGAUCGCAAUCGUCCUCUAU
RNAcentral lists this non-coding RNA (262 nucleotides) under Virgibacillus necropolis. Its description in RNAcentral is "T-box sequence". It matches the Rfam family "T-box leader". Rfam says of the family: Uncharged tRNA acts as the effector for transcription antitermination of genes in the T-box leader family. T-boxes are found upstream of many aminoacyl-tRNA synthetase genes and some amino acid biosynthetic genes usually in Gram-positive bacteria. The anticodon of a specific tRNA base pairs to a specifier sequence within the T-box motif, and the NCCA acceptor tail of the tRNA base pairs to a conserved bulge in the T-box antiterminator hairpin. The record is from RNAcentral. Lineage: Bacteria; Bacillati; Bacillota; Bacilli; Caryophanales; Bacillaceae.